UACGAAGGGGGCUAGCGUUGUUCGGAAUCACUGGGCGUAAAGCGCACGUAGGCGGAUCUUUAAGUCAGGGGUGAAAUCCCGAGGCUCAACCUCGGAACUGCCUUUGAUACUGGGGAUCUCGAGUCCGGGAGAGGUGAGUGGAACUGCGAGUGUAGAGGUGAAAUUCGUAGAUAUUCGCAAGAACACCAGUGGCGAAGGCGGCUCACCGGCCCGGAACUGACGCUGAGGUGCGAAAGCGUGGGGAGCAAACAGG
This 253-nucleotide ribosomal RNA is filed under the name uncultured bacterium. RNAcentral describes it as "partial 16S ribosomal RNA". It matches the Rfam family "Bacterial small subunit ribosomal RNA", at positions 524 to 776 of the family's 1533-position model. The record is from RNAcentral.